This 253-nucleotide ribosomal RNA is filed under the name uncultured bacterium. RNAcentral's name for it is "partial 16S ribosomal RNA". It matches the Rfam family "Bacterial small subunit ribosomal RNA", at positions 524 to 776 of the family's 1533-position model. The record is from RNAcentral.
GACGUAGGGCGCGAGCGUUGUCCGGAUUUAUUGGGCGUAAAGAGCUCGUAGGCGGCUUGUCGCGUCGAAUGUGAAAUCUCAGGGCUCAACUCUGACAUUGCAUUCGAUACGGGCAGGCUAGAGUUCGGUAGGGGAGACUGGAAUUCCUGGUGUAGCGGUGAAAUGCGCAGAUAUCAGGAGGAACACCUAUUGCGAAGGCAGCUCGCUGGGACGUAACUGACGCUGAGACGCGAAAGCGUGGGGAGCAAACAGG